GGAUGAACGCUGGCGGCGUGCCUAAUACAUGCAAGUCGAGCGAACAGAUGAGGAGCUUGCUCCUCUGACGUUAGCGGCGGACGGGUGAGUAACACGUGGAUAACCUACCUAUAAGACUGGGAUAACUUCGGGAAACCGGAGCUAAUACCGGAUAAUAUAUUGAGCCGCAUGGUUCAAUAGUGAAAGACGGUUUUGCUGUCACUUAUAGAUGGAUCCGCGCCGCAUUAGCUAGUUGGUAAGGUAACGGCUUACCAAGGCAACGAUGCGUAGCCGACCUGAGAGGGUGACCGGCCACACUGGAACUGAGACACGGCCCAGAAUCCUACGGGAGGCAGCAGUAGGGAAUCUUCCGAAAGGGGCGAAAGCCGGACGGAGAAACGCCGGGUGAGUGAUGAAGGUCUUCGGAUCGUAAAACUUUUUUAUUAGGGAAGAAAAAAUGUGUAAGUAACUAUCCACGUCUUGACGGUUCCUAAGCAAAAAGCCACGGCUAACUACGU
This 497-nucleotide ribosomal RNA is filed under the name uncultured bacterium. RNAcentral describes it as "partial 16S ribosomal RNA". It matches the Rfam family "Bacterial small subunit ribosomal RNA", at positions 27 to 506 of the family's 1533-position model. The record is from RNAcentral.